GUCGGCAGGCGAUCCGCGUCGGUCGCGCGAGGUGGUAUGGUUCCCCAGAGGCCGGUUCUUGUGCUGCCUACCCCUUCAGGGGAAGCGGGCCACUUGAUGUAAGCCUCCAUCCGGCGCCCUCCAACGGGCGCAGGAGGACAACAGAGCACACCCCGCGUACCACCGAGCCUUCGUCGGUCGCGUGGCGCGCGGGGACGUGCGAUGCUCUCGGACCCAGCGGACGCCGUGGGCGAGGACUCACGUCCCAGUCCCGAUAGAAGCUUCGGUAUAAUGCAUGACGGCCGCUCCCGCCCCCCGACCGCCCCGGCGGCGCGUGGGCGAGGCGCGGCGUCGCGGAGGAAUGCUACCUGGUUGAUCCUGC
Molecule: unclassified non-coding RNA, 361 nt
Filed under: Acacia longifolia subsp. longifolia
Lineage: Eukaryota; Viridiplantae; Streptophyta; Magnoliopsida; Fabales; Fabaceae
Description: partial external transcribed spacer
Source: RNAcentral